Molecule: long non-coding RNA, 644 nt
Organism: Mus musculus (house mouse)
Lineage: Eukaryota; Metazoa; Chordata; Mammalia; Rodentia; Muridae
Product: predicted gene, 33679
Exons: 3
Source: RefSeq, a predicted model, not a curated record
UGGCUUCAGGGUUUAGAAGGUUUCAUUUCUUCGUGUCAGGGUGGGCUUGGCAGAGAAGACAAUCAUGGCAGCAGGAGUGUGUGGUAGACUGUUCACAUCCCGGCAGGAUAAGGAUUCAGCAGACAUUAAUGUGCUUAGUCCUGGUAGAAAAAUAAAGGAGGGGUCAAAACCAAGAGAAAUUCUGUUUAUUGUUGAAGAUGGUCAUCAGGAGGAGUGGAUGGGCGCACCCAUAAACAAACUCAUCGUCAGGGUGGGACAGCGAUAACUGUUGGAACUGGGACUUCCAAUAACAACAAAGCCCCGAAUGCCGCCAGGACAAAUGAUGAAUAUGAGAUACCCUGAGCAUCUUGAGACUCACCAGAGCAAAACAACUCUGAGAGUCAAGAAGCUACACAUCUGGCUGUUGACUCUAGCGUGUGAUGGCAGGGAUAUUAUUCUGAAUGAAACAAGGAGGGACAGAAUACUGGGCUCUGUGCAAGCUUUACUCCUGUCAUUGCUUUUUCCUAUUGCAUUUAAAAUUUGGGGGCCUAAAAGUCAACCCUUGGUUUUGCAUAGCAGGCUGCAAAUGAAGCCUCUUCGAUACAUUAAGGCAUGUGCACAUAUAUGUUGCAUAUUUAUAAUGUUAUUCUAGUCCAUAAAGACUU